Molecule: non-coding RNA, 28 nt
Filed under: Mus musculus (house mouse)
Lineage: Eukaryota; Metazoa; Chordata; Mammalia; Rodentia; Muridae
Source: RNAcentral
UGAGAUAAAAUGAUCUUGCCUAACUUUC